GCGCUAUUAGUAUAGAAUUAUACUUGACUUCCAAUCAAGAGACCGUGGCCACUAUCCACGAUAGCGUA
This 68-nucleotide transfer RNA is filed under the name Holothuria edulis. Its description in RNAcentral is "tRNA-Gly". It matches the Rfam family "tRNA". Rfam says of the family: Transfer RNA (tRNA) molecules are approximately 80 nucleotides in length. Their secondary structure includes four short double-helical elements and three loops (D, anti-codon, and T loops). Further hydrogen bonds mediate the characteristic L-shaped molecular structure. tRNAs have two regions of fundamental functional importance: the anti-codon, which is responsible for specific mRNA codon recognition, and the 3' end, to which the tRNAs corresponding amino acid is attached (by aminoacyl-tRNA synthetases). tRNAs cope with the degeneracy of the genetic code in two manners: having more than one tRNA (with a specific anti-codon) for a particular amino acid; and 'wobble' base-pairing, i.e. permitting non-standard base-pairing at the 3rd anti-codon position. Lineage: Eukaryota; Metazoa; Echinodermata; Holothuroidea; Aspidochirotida; Holothuriidae. The record is from RNAcentral.